CUCCGGUUGAUCCCGCCGGACCCGACUGCUAUCAGAGUGGGACUAAGCCAUGCGAGUCGACGUAGCAAUGCGUGGCGAACGGCUCAGUAACACGUAGUCAACAUGCCCAGGGGACGUGGAUAACCUCGGGAAACUGAGAAUAAACCACGAUAGGUCACGAUUUCUGGAAUGGAUCAUGGCCUAAAUCUACAUGGCCCCUGGAUUGGACUGCGGCCGAUCAGGCUGUUGGUGAGGUAAUGGCCCACCAAACCUAUAACCGGUACGGGCUCUGAGAGGAGAAGCCCGGAGAUGGGCACUGAGACAAGGGCCCAGGCCCUAUGGGGCGCAGCAGGCGCGAAACCUCUGCAAUAGGCGAAAGCCUGACAGGGUUACUCUGAGUGAUUUCCGCUAAGGGGAUCUUUUGGCACCUCUAAAAAUGGUGCAGAAUAAGGGGUGGGCAAGUCUGGUGUCAGCCGCCGCGGUAAUACCAGCACCCCGAGUGGUCGGGACGAUUAUUGGGCCUAAAGCAUCCGUAGCCGGUUCUGCAAGUCUUCCGUUAAAUCCAGCCGCUCAACGGAUGGGCCGCGGAGGAUACUACAGGACUAGGAGGCGGGAGAGGCAAGCGGUACUCAGUGGGUAGGGGUAAAAUCCUUUGAUCCAUUGAAGACCACCAGUGGCGAAGGCGGCUUGCCAGAACGCGCUCGACGGUGAGGAAUGAAAGCUGGGGGAGCAAACCGGAUUAGAUACCCGGGUAGUCCCAGCUGUAAACGAUGCAAACUCGGUGAUGCAUUGGCUUAUGGCCAAUGCAGUGCCGCAGGGAAGCCGUUAAGUUUGCCGCCUGGGAAGUACGGACGCAAGUCUGAAACUUAAAGGAAUUGGCGGGGGAGCA
This 868-nucleotide ribosomal RNA is filed under the name uncultured archaeon. Its description in RNAcentral is "bacterial SSU rRNA". It matches the Rfam family "Archaeal small subunit ribosomal RNA", at positions 1 to 878 of the family's 1478-position model. The record is from RNAcentral.